Molecule: long non-coding RNA, 461 nt
Organism: Ruditapes philippinarum (Manila clam)
Lineage: Eukaryota; Metazoa; Mollusca; Bivalvia; Venerida; Veneridae
Exons: 3
Source: RefSeq, a predicted model, not a curated record
CCCCUAAAAAAUGUAAACCUACUACAACUACUACAACGACAUAUUGGGGCAGAAGUUGGGAACAUUGGCCUUUAAAAACACGGAUACGACUUCAACAAGUACAACAAGUACUUCUAUUGGAGGAGAGGGUGGACGCGGCGGGGUAGGUUCAGGAAGCGGAAGAGUUUAUCCGUCUGGUGAAAUGACUGUAAACCUUGAUGAUACUGGAGUUGUCAGUGGUCAUAUACCUGGUGUUUCUGUAACUUCCGGUGUGACCCAUCGGUUUGGUGGCAAACCAUGCAGCAGACAAGCUGUAUUUAAGGUUCAUUUUGCAAAGGAAAAAACAUUAGAGCAUUGCGUUGAGGACGAAAAACUAUACACGAAGUUGUAUGCACAGCGAAUGUUAAAAAUCCAAAUGUAUCUUUCAAAUGGCGAACGAAGCGGUUUUAUGUUUAAUAUUGGCGACAGCCGGACAAAUGAUG